AUAUUUGUGAUCUUGUCUUUUAUCCAAACCAAUAAAAACAGAAAAGAUUAAGCAUAGCCCCUGCACAAGGAUGACAUGCAAAUUGGUGAAACAUUCCAACUUUUU
Rhineura floridana is the source of this 105-nucleotide small nuclear RNA. The record is from RefSeq and is a predicted model, not a curated record. NCBI's taxonomy places the organism in Eukaryota, Metazoa, Chordata, Lepidosauria, Squamata, Rhineuridae.